Molecule: ribosomal RNA, 447 nt
Filed under: uncultured bacterium
Lineage: Bacteria
Description: bacterial SSU rRNA
Rfam family: Bacterial small subunit ribosomal RNA
Source: RNAcentral
UCCAGACUCCUACGGGAGGCAGCAGUGGGGAAUAUUGCACAAUGGGGGGAACCCUGAUGCAGCGACGCCGCGUGAAGGAAGAAGUAUCUCGGUAUGUAAACUUCUUUCAGCAGGGAAGAAAGGGGACGGUACCUGACUAAGAAGCCCCGGCUAACUACGUGCCAGCAGCCGCGGUAAUACGUAGGGGGCGAGCGUUAUCCGGAAUUACUGGGUGUAAAGGGAGCGUAGACGGCGAGGUAAGCCUGAAGUGGAAGCCCGCGGCCCAACCGCGGAACUGCUUUGGGAACUGUUUUGCUGGAGUAUGGGAGGGGUAAGCGGAAUUCCUGGUGUAGCGGUGAAAUGCGUAGAUAUCAGGAGGAACACCGGUGGCGAAGGCGGCUUACUGGACCAUAACUGACGUUGAGGCUCGAAAGCGUGGGGAGCAAACAGGAUUAGAUACCCGAGUAC